This is a non-coding RNA of Pipistrellus kuhlii (Kuhl's pipistrelle), 164 nucleotides long. RefSeq annotates it as small Cajal body-specific RNA 1. The record is from RefSeq and is a predicted model, not a curated record. NCBI's taxonomy places the organism in Eukaryota, Metazoa, Chordata, Mammalia, Chiroptera, Vespertilionidae. The transcript has a single exon.
CAGCACUCGAUACUAGCCGAGCUAUCUGCAUCCUGGCCUUGUGAAACAGGCUUGCGAUGUGUUGUGAUAACUGGGUUGAAGAAGUGCAAUAUUAAAACAAAAGCCGUGAGCUUUAAGCCCAGUGUGUAAAGACACACCCUGAGUUAUAACUCAGUGGCACAACU